RNAcentral lists this ribosomal RNA (1345 nucleotides) under uncultured bacterium. Its description in RNAcentral is "bacterial SSU rRNA". It matches the Rfam family "Bacterial small subunit ribosomal RNA", at positions 28 to 1381 of the family's 1533-position model. The record is from RNAcentral.
GAUGAACGCUAGCGGGAGGCCUAACACAUGCAAGCCGAGCGGUAUUGUUUCUUCGGAAAUGAGAGAGCGGCGUACGGGUGCGGAACACGUGUGCAACCUGCCUUUAUCUGGGGGAUAGCCUUUCGAAAGGAAGAUUAAUACUCCAUAACAUAUUGAUUGGCAUCAAUUAAUAUUGAAAGCUCCGGCGGAUAGAGAUGGGCACGCGCAAGAUUAGCUAGUUGGUGAGGUAACGGCUCACCAAGGCGAUGAUCUUUAGGGGGCCUGAGAGGGUGAUCCCCCACACUGGUACUGAGACACGGACCAGACUCCUACGGGAGGCAGCAGUGAGGAAUAUUGGUCAAUGGGUGCAAGCCUGAACCAGCCAUCCCGCGUGAAGGACGACUGCCCUAUGGGUUGUAAACUUCUUUUGUAUAGGGAUAAACCUACCCUCGUGAGGGUAGCUGAAGGUACUAUACGAAUAAGCACCGGCUAACUCCGUGCCAGCAGCCGCGGUAAUAUGGAGGGUGCAAGCGUUAUCCGGAUUUAUUGGGUUUAAAGGGUCCGUAGGCGGACUUAUAAGUCAGUGGUGAAAGCCUGUCGCUUAACGAUAGAACUGCCAUUGAUACUGUAAGUCUUGAGUAUAUUUGAGGUAGCUGGAAUAAGUAGUGUAGCGGUGAAAUGCAUAGAUAUUACUUAGAACACCAAUUGCGAAGGCAGGUUACCAAGAUAUAACUGACGCUGAGGGACGAAAGCGUGGGGAGUGAACAGGAUUAGAUACCCUGGUAGUCCACGCCGUAAACGAUGCUAACUCGUUUUUGGGCUUUAGGGUUCAGAGACCAAGCGAAAGUGAUAAGUUAGCCACCUGGGGAGUACGCUCGCAAGAGUGAAACUCAAAGGAAUUGACGGGGGCCCGCACAAGCGGUGGAUUAUGUGGUUUAAUUCGAUGAUACGCGAGGAACCUUACCAAGACUUAAAUGGGAAUUGACAGCUUUAGAAAUAGAGCUUUCUUCGGACAAUUUUCAAGGUGCUGCAUGGUUGUCGUCAGCUCGUGCCGUGAGGUGUUAGGUUAAGUCCUGCAACGAGCGCAACCCCUGUCACUAGUUGCCAUCAUUCAGUUGGGGACUCUAGUGAGACUGCCUAUGCAAGUAGAGAGGAAGGUGGGGAUGACGUCAAAUCAUCACGGCCCUUACGUCUUGGGCCACACACGUAAUACAAUGGCCGGUACAGAGGGCAGCUACACAGCGAUGUGAUGCAAAUCUCGAAAGCCGGUCUCAGUUCGGAUUGGAGUCUGCAACUCGACUCUAUGAAGCUGGAAUCGCUAGUAAUCGCGCAUCAGCCAUGGCGCGGUGAAUACGUUCCCGGGCCU